AUGGAAACAUGGGAAUGAAAUCGGAAAAGUGCGCCGUUCUUUUUUCUAUACUUUUAAUUACAAAUGUAUUUCAGCUAUUCAGAAAGUGGACCAGUUGAUCCAGUUCGUCGAAGAAAAUAACUUAGACCCAUGUUGCCUGAUAAACUUGAUAGAAUAUAUACCUUCGAAAAACUACAAUUUAUUGAAAGCGGUGAAUUAAAUUUAAUUUUUCCUAAUCGUGAAGACACUGCAUUGCGUUCCGAGUUUAGGGCAAAGUUAAUGGAGUGGAAAGUUAGAAAUAAAAUAGUCAGGCCGACUAUUGUUCAACCGGUAUCACUGCCAAUCCAAAAUAUACAAGAAGACAUCGAUAUGCGAAGUGGUUCCGGGCUUGUAAGUUGGAGCACGAUUUUAAUAACCUGCACUCCGAUCGACAAUACUGUUUCACAACGAAGUGGGAAAGAACGGUACCAAAGUUCAUGUCCUAUUAUUCCUUAAACGUAAAAGACAGAUUUUACAAGCAACUUUUAACGUCCCUAAACAAUGUUGUUGGCGAUGGCCCAAGGGACUGUAUAUUGUUUAUGGCUUUGCACGCUGUUA
Molecule: non-coding RNA, 576 nt
Organism: Drosophila suzukii
Lineage: Eukaryota; Metazoa; Arthropoda; Insecta; Diptera; Drosophilidae
Source: RefSeq, a predicted model, not a curated record